CGACGGGAGCUUGCUCCCCUAGGUCAGCGGCGGACGGGUGAGUAACACGUGGGUAACCUGCCUGUAAGACUGGGAUAACUCCGGGAAACCGGGGCUAAUACCGGAUGCUUGAUUGAACCGCAUGGUUCCAAUCAUAAAAGGUGGCUUUUAGCUACCACUUACAGAUGGACCCGCGGCGCAUUAGCUAGUUGGUGAGGUAACGGCUCACCAAGGCGACGAUGCGUAGCCGACCUGAGAGGGUGAUCGGCCACACUGGGACUGAGACACGGCCCAGACUCCUACGGGAGGCAGCAGUAGGGAAUCUUCCGCAAUGGACGAAAGUCUGACGGAGCAACGCCGCGUGAGUGAUGAAGGUUUUCGGAUCGUAAAACUCUGUUGUUAGGGAAGAACAAGUACCGUUCGAAUAGGGCGGCACCUUGACGGUACCUAACCAGAAAGCCACGGCUAACUACGUGCCAGCAGCCGCGGUAAUACGUAGGUGGCAAGCGUUGUCCGGAAUUAUUGGGCGUAAAGCGCGCGCAGGCGGUUUCUUAAGUCUGAUGUGAAGCCCCCGGCUCAACCGGGGAGGGUCAUUGGAAACUGGGGAACUUGAGUGCAGAAGAGGAGAGUGGAAUUCCACGUGUAGCGGUGAAAUGCGUAGAGAUGUGGAGGACACCAGUGGCGAAGGCGACUCUCUGGUCUGUAACUGACGCUGA
This 695-nucleotide ribosomal RNA is filed under the name uncultured Bacilli bacterium. RNAcentral describes it as "bacterial SSU rRNA". It matches the Rfam family "Bacterial small subunit ribosomal RNA", at positions 70 to 749 of the family's 1533-position model. Lineage: Bacteria; Bacillati; Bacillota; Bacilli. The record is from RNAcentral.